CAUGAAGACUCAGGAUCAACUAGAGACGCAGAGCCAGAACAAAAGAAUCAAGAUCACAAAAGCAGAAGCCACAGAAACAAUGUAAACAACUCUACCAUGUCAGAGGUUCACAAUAAUCCUCACACAGGGUCAUUUGCUGAGCUGCAGUAAGCCAAAGGUGACAUCCUGUGACACUCUAAAACAAUAGGUCAGACUCUGUCUCUCCUCUCUGUUCGGUUGACUGUUUGACGCAGCUGCCUUGAUCAGGAUGAACACUGUGAUCCAUUCUCUAAGUAACCCAAGGUCCAGAUGAUCUGUAUUUUGUUUCUUUACAGACAGACUGACUGUCUGUCUUUUCUGUGUUCUUUUUAUUAUUUCUGCUGUUUAGUCUUCUUUGUGUGUUUUGUAUAUACAGAUAUUGUUCCGCUAUGUGAUGUUCAUUGUGUUUUGUUUUCGAUGAGUAAUAAUGCCUUUUUUUAUUUGUGAAAUGGGGGAGGUCUCUAAAUAAACCUUUCACUCUUAA
Micropterus dolomieu (smallmouth bass) is the source of this 502-nucleotide long non-coding RNA. RefSeq lists it as uncharacterized. The transcript has 2 exons. The record is from RefSeq and is a predicted model, not a curated record. NCBI's taxonomy places the organism in Eukaryota, Metazoa, Chordata, Actinopteri, Centrarchiformes, Centrarchidae.